GCUGGUGUAGCUUAAUAUAAAGCAUAGCACUGAAGAUGCUAAGAUAAGCCCUAGAAAGCUUCACCUGCA
This 69-nucleotide transfer RNA is filed under the name Catostomus catostomus (longnose sucker). Its description in RNAcentral is "tRNA-Phe". It matches the Rfam family "tRNA". Rfam says of the family: Transfer RNA (tRNA) molecules are approximately 80 nucleotides in length. Their secondary structure includes four short double-helical elements and three loops (D, anti-codon, and T loops). Lineage: Eukaryota; Metazoa; Chordata; Actinopteri; Cypriniformes; Catostomidae. The record is from RNAcentral.